AGUCUAUUCAGAGGAACCUGUCCUGUAAUUGAUAAUCCACGAUGUACCUCACUUAAAUUUGUUUUUCAGUUUAUAUACCGUCGUUAUCAGAAUAUUUUAUUAGAAUAAUAAUUUUCUAUAAUUUUUAUAAGAAUUUAUAUCAGAUCAAGGUGUAGCUUAUGUUUAAGUAGAGAUGGGUUACAAUAAAUUUAUUUAAACGGAUCUAAUUUUGAAAUGUUUAGUGAAGGUGGAUUUGAUAGUAAAAUUUUAAAGAUUAUUAAUUUGAUUUUAGCUCUAGAAUAUGCACACAUCGCCCGUCGCUCUUGCUAUUAAGGCAAGAUAAGUCGUAACAUAGUAGAUGUACCGGAAGGUGUAUCUAGAAUGA
This 364-nucleotide ribosomal RNA is filed under the name Bactrocera jarvisi. RNAcentral describes it as "partial 12S rRNA". It matches the Rfam family "Microsporidia small subunit ribosomal RNA", at positions 800 to 1311 of the family's 1311-position model. Lineage: Eukaryota; Metazoa; Arthropoda; Insecta; Diptera; Tephritidae. The record is from RNAcentral.